UAUCUUAUUCUGAACCAGUUUUUCCAAUACCAUGUAAGUUGUCAUCAGUGCAAAUUGUUUCGUGUAUCUGAUGACAACUUGCAUUUGAAUUUGAAAAACGCUUUUUAAGUUUUCAUGUUGGCUUUGAGGAUUAAUCUUCCUCUUAAAUCUGAAAAAUGAUGUCUGCCAUAUUUAAUUUUAGCUUAAAUUUAGUUUAUCAAUCAUGAAUAGUGUCAUGUGCCCAUUGCCGUAGUCCAUAGCUUUUCCUAAUUGUGAAAUAUUUUAGAAAUUUUCAUCAAAGCACCAGACACCCCACUAUAAAAUUGGAGUAUCCUCACGAAGUGCUGACUUGUAUAUCUGGGUGUUAUGGUUGCAUUUCUAGAGAUGAGCGGCCUCGAGUUAUAAAGUCUUUGACAUUUUAUUUGUUGAA
Prunus avium (sweet cherry) is the source of this 409-nucleotide non-coding RNA. The record is from RefSeq and is a predicted model, not a curated record. Lineage: Eukaryota; Viridiplantae; Streptophyta; Magnoliopsida; Rosales; Rosaceae.